Molecule: ribosomal RNA, 305 nt
Filed under: uncultured bacterium
Lineage: Bacteria
Description: bacterial SSU rRNA
Rfam family: Bacterial small subunit ribosomal RNA
Source: RNAcentral
CCUACGGGAGGCAGCAGUGGGGGAUAUUGCACAAUGGGCGAAAGCCUGAUGCAGCGACGCCGCGUGAGGGAAGACGGUCUUCGGAUUGUAAACCUCUGUCUUUGGGGAAGAAGAUGACGGUACCCAAAGAGGAAGCUCCGGCUAACUACGUGCCAGCAGCCGCGGUAAUACGUAGGGAGCGAGCGUUGUCCGGAUUUACUGGGUGUAAAGGGUGCGUAGGCGGUCCUGCAAGUCAGAAGUGAAAUCCAUGGGCUUAACCCGUGAACUGCUUUUGAAACUGCAGGACUUGAGUGGAGUAGAGGUAG